This 85-nucleotide transfer RNA is filed under the name Chloroflexota bacterium. RNAcentral describes it as "Chloroflexi bacterium tRNA-Leu". It matches the Rfam family "tRNA". From Rfam's summary of the family: Transfer RNA (tRNA) molecules are approximately 80 nucleotides in length. Their secondary structure includes four short double-helical elements and three loops (D, anti-codon, and T loops). Lineage: Bacteria; Bacillati; Chloroflexota. The record is from RNAcentral.
GCCGAGGUGGUGGAAUGGUAUACACGACGGACUUAAAAUCCGUUGCACCUAGUGCAUGCGGGUUCGACUCCCGCCCUCGGCACCA